Molecule: long non-coding RNA, 943 nt
Organism: Vidua macroura (Pin-tailed whydah)
Lineage: Eukaryota; Metazoa; Chordata; Aves; Passeriformes; Viduidae
Exons: 3
Source: RefSeq, a predicted model, not a curated record
GGGGGGGAAGGAGGGAGCCGAGCUGUUGAGUCAACACUGCAGAGCUGCCUGCGAGAGCAGCCGGAGGCACAGCCGGGCUGGCUGCGAAGGACGCGUUUGCGGAGCCCACGGGAAAAUGGUUUGAGUAAUAAUCAACGCCUGCCGCUAUGUGGCCAGGAAGAUGAGGAGCCUGUGCAGCCGGGAGCCCCGGGAGCCACCGCCCUGCCCGGCGCAGGCAGCGCCCCAAAGCCAGCACCAGAAUGUAAAACCAGAGCUACCAGCACCUCCUGAAGCACCAGCCUCACUCCCCAGCAACAUCAAACCCAUCCAGUGCAGGUCCUGACGAUAAAACCCUCGUGGUCCUCCCAUGAAAGCCACGAGAUUUCUUCCCACUGGUUUUUGCUGGAAAUCCUGUAUCCCAGGGAUUGGAAAAUAUCAGCAAAUCCCUGCUGGAUCUGCUCUCGGCACAGAAGCACAUUGAUAGAAAAUGUCCUGAUCAGUGUCUCAUGACCAGAAAUUUCUAGUUGGCAGGAAAAAAAGAAGAUUCCCAAUGUGUGUCAGAUGCUCCUGGCACCCGUGGGCCAUGGAAUACCAGGGGAAGAGCAGGAGCCAUUGCAUCCUAGCAGGGAAAGAGAUUUUUAUACUGUGAAACCAAAUUAUGCUCCCGGUGAUAUUGGUACAAAUUCAGACCAUUUCCACAAAGGUUCCAAAGCGGUUCCUGAGCUGGAAUAAGGAGUUUUGGGGCUCGGGUGUGUGGGAAUCCCUUUCCCCAUGGCCAGUGAGCCCCCAGGUGAUGUGCAGCACCCCCAGAGCAGAGGCUGCAGGGAUGACAGCAGGAUGUGCCCCCAACCCUGCCCUGUCACAGAGCAAUGACAGCAGAGCCCCAAACCCCAGCGGUGUGGGGGGGAUUCUGCCUGACCCCUCCUGUGACAGCUCAGCCAGAAGUAAAGGUGGAUGAGAAUCA